CACCCAGGACGGUGGAUCACUCGGCUCGUGGGUCGAUAAAGAACGCAGCAAAUUGCGCGUCGACAUGUGAACUGCAGGACACAAGAACAUCGACGUUUCGAACGCACAUUGCGGUCCAUGGAUUCCGUUCCCGGGCCAAGUCUGGCUGAGGGUCGGCU
RNAcentral lists this ribosomal RNA (158 nucleotides) under Eyprepocnemis plorans. RNAcentral's name for it is "5.8S ribosomal RNA". It matches the Rfam family "5.8S ribosomal RNA". From Rfam's summary of the family: 5.8S ribosomal RNA (5.8S rRNA) is a component of the large subunit of the eukaryotic ribosome. It is transcribed by RNA polymerase I as part of the 45S precursor that also contains 18S and 28S rRNA. Functionally, it is thought that 5.8S rRNA may be involved in ribosome translocation. The record is from RNAcentral. Lineage: Eukaryota; Metazoa; Arthropoda; Insecta; Orthoptera; Acrididae.